GACGAACGCUGGCGGCGUGCUUAACACAUGCAAGUCGAACGGAAAGGCCCUGCUUUUGUGGGGUGCUCGAGUGGCGAACGGGUGAGUAACACGUGAGUAACCUGCCCUUGACUUUGGGAUAACUUCAGGAAACUGGGGCUAAUACCGGAUAGGAGCUCCUGCUGCAUGGUGGGGGUUGGAAAGUUUCGGCGGUUGGGGAUGGACUCGCGGCUUAUCAGCUUGUUGGUGGGGUAGUGGCUUACCAAGGCUUUGACGGGUAGCCGGCCUGAGAGGGUGACCGGCCACAUUGGGACUGAGAUACGGCCCAGACUCCUACGGGAGGCAGCAGUGGGGAAUAUUGCACAAUGGGCGGAAGCCUGAUGCAGCAACGCCGCGUGCGGGAUGACGGCCUUCGGGUUGUAAACCGCUUUCGCCUGUGACGAAGCGUGAGUGACGGUAAUGGGUAAAGAAGCACCGGCUAACUACGUGCCAGCAGCCGCGGUGAUACGUAGGGUGCGAGCGUUGUCCGGAUUUAUUGGGCGUAAAGGGCUCGUAGGUGGUUGAUCGCGUCGGAAGUGUAAUCUUGGGGCUUAACCCUGAGCGUGCUUUCGAUACGGGUUGACUUGAGGAAGGUAGGGGAGAAUGGAAUUCCUGGUGGAGCGGUGGAAUGCGCAGAUAUCAGGAGGAACACCAGUGGCGAAGGCGGUUCUCUGGGCCUUCCUGACGCUGAGGAGCGAAAGCGUGGGGAGCGAACAGGCUUAGAUACCCUGGUAGUCCACGCUGUAAACGGUGGGUACUAGGUGUGGGGUCCAUUCCACGGGUUCCGUGCCGUAGCUAACGCUUUAAGUACCCCGCCUGGGGAGUACGGCCGCAAGGCUAAAACUCAAAGGAAUUGACGGGGCCCCGCACAAGCGGCGGAGCAUGCGGAUUAAUUCGAUGCAACGCGUAGAACCUUACCUGGGUUUGACAUGGAUCGGGAGUGCUCAGAGAUGGGUGUGCCUCUUUUGGGGUCGGUUCACAGGUGGUGCAUGGCUGUCGUCAGCUCGUGUCGUGAGAUGUUGGGUUAAGUCCCGCAACGAGCGCAACCCUUGUUCACUGUUGCCAGCACGUUAUGGUGGGGACUCAGUGGAGACCGCCGGGGUCAACUCGGAGGAAGGUGGGGAUGACGUCAAGUCAUCAUGCCCCUUAUGUCCAGGGCUUCACGCAUGCUACAAUGGCUGGUACAGAGAGUGGCGAGCCUGUGAGGGUGAGCGAAUCUCGGAAAGCCGGUCUCAGUUCGGAUUGGGGUCUGCAACUCGACCUCAUGAAGUCGGAGUCGCUAGUAAUCGCAGAUCAGCAACGCUGCGGUGAAUACGUUCCCGGG
This 1342-nucleotide ribosomal RNA is filed under the name uncultured bacterium. RNAcentral's name for it is "16S ribosomal RNA". It matches the Rfam family "Bacterial small subunit ribosomal RNA", at positions 28 to 1378 of the family's 1533-position model. The record is from RNAcentral.